GGUAUUGUUUACCCCAUUUGUAAGGCCCCGGAACCUUUCAAAUAACUUGCGGACCGGAACAUCCGCCCUGUAAACAAAAA
Streptococcus infantis SK970 is the source of this 80-nucleotide non-coding RNA. NCBI's taxonomy places the organism in Bacteria, Bacillati, Bacillota, Bacilli, Lactobacillales, Streptococcaceae. The record is from Rfam.